This 168-nucleotide ribosomal RNA is filed under the name Sagamia geneionema. RNAcentral's name for it is "partial 12S rRNA". Lineage: Eukaryota; Metazoa; Chordata; Actinopteri; Gobiiformes; Gobiidae. The record is from RNAcentral.
CACCGCGGUUAUACGAGAGGCUCAAGUUGUUAAACACCGGCGUAAAAGGUGGGCAAUACAUUAAUUUACUAGAGUCAAACGCCUUCCAAACUGUUAUACGCUGCCGAAGACAGGAAGCCCUCCCACGAAAGUGACUUUAAAUAAUAUUACCCCACGAAAGUCAGGAAA